This is a non-coding RNA of Triticum urartu, 1392 nucleotides long. Lineage: Eukaryota; Viridiplantae; Streptophyta; Magnoliopsida; Poales; Poaceae. The record is from RefSeq and is a predicted model, not a curated record.
ACACAGAACUCUCAGCCCUAAAAAGAUAUCUACAUAGAACUCUCUCUCCUUUCCCUCUCAGUAAAAAAAAAGAACUCUCCUCCCAUACGAUCCCCACCAGGCACCUCAUACACACCUGCCAUUUCUUCCAAUUUGCCGCCGGCGAAGGACGACGUCGAUGUGCCCCAUUAGGAAACUAAUCCUCAUGCUAUCCCAGAUCCGCAUGUCGCUUCUUUUCUCCUGAUUUUUCUUCCUUGGUGGUGUCACAUGUGGCUGGGUGAGCGUGUGGAUCUCGGCGAACUCGUCGACUCUGGCAACGCGGUCACGGAGAUGUCCAGUGAGAACGCGGGUUGUGCUACUCAAAGUUGUCGUAGCCGGAGUUUCUGGAUGUUGGAGCUGCGAAGGCAUUGAGGGAGUUCGCGGAUGAAGAAAUAUCUGCAAGACGUGAGUAUCUUCUGCGAGUCGAUGUUAGUUGUUGCCCUCCUGCUGUCCAGACUUCUACCAAAUCACGAAGGGCCACUUCAAGUCGCUUGGUGACAUAAUGAUUUCAGGAGCAUCACCUGCAAGCCUACCUUCAGUUUUAGCUCGUGGAUUGGAAUUCCUGGGAAGGUCAUGUUGUUGAGGAACUCUGCUGGACACAUAUUCUCCAUUGUGUUGUAAUUCAUUGUUGCCUUGCAUACAGUGUCCAAGUAUAGGAGCAAAGCUGCAAUGCCAGAUGAUACUACCGAAAUCACUUUCUUUCCUUCUGAUCGUAGCUUCGUUGUAAUUGCUUUCCAUAGGGUGUCCAUAGUAGAUUCUCCCAACAGCGAAGCCCCUUUUCCGCUCCUCAGGUUUUGGUUUCGCUUUUCCAUACAAAUUUUGAUGGUAAUUCUGCAUAGGCCAAAAGUGCUUUGGCGUCCCUUCUUCCGAUGUCGAUUGGAGUAGCUGGGUGUGGCUUCGUCAUGCGUUGAGCGUGCUUUGGCGUGACUUCAUCGGACGUCAAGUGAAGCGGCUGGAGGUGGCUGAGGUGGCUUUUCGUGUCGACGUCGAGUUGCCUAGUCGCGUGUGACGUCUUUGCUGACUUCUAAUUCUUUGGGUGUGUGCUUCUGCGGCCGGUUGUACUCAUUUAUAUAUGGGUGGAGGUGUGUGGGUUCAGGUGGUUGUGACCAUGGAGAAAGCAGAUCGGUCUUUUUUCGUGUCAUGGUUCCUGUUUUGGAAGUUUCUCAUGUGAGGUCUGGUUAGGUCCAAUCGUUGUCCUUAUUUGUUUAGAUUUCCUAUUAUUUUUUAUUCCUUGACCCAUUGAUUGAAAUAUUUUUUUUCUGUUUCUGCGGGCUAGUUGACGUUCGGAUGGAACCUAUGUGUGUUGUUUGUACGUGGCAUGUUUUACUACUUGUACAUGUACACAUAUUUUUACGUAACGUUUCCAUAUUUUAA